UCGAGCGAGAGGGUUUUGAAGCUUGCUUUAGGACCCGGAAAGCGGCGAAAGGGAGAGUAACGAGUAGUUAUCUACCCCAAGGCCCGGAAUAGCUGCGGGAAACUGCAGGUAAUGCCGGAUAAUAUCCCCGGAUCAAAGGUGUGAUUCCGCCUUGGGAGGAGACUGCUUUGUACUAGCUUGUUGGUAGGGUAAUGGCCUACCAAGGCUACGAUGCAUAGCGGGCGUGAGAGCGUGGCCCGUCUCACUGGGACUGAAACACUGCCCAGACACCUACGGGUGGCUGCAGUCGAGAAUCUUCGGCAAUGGGCGAAAGCCUGACCGAGCGAUGCCGCGUGCGGGAUGAAGGCCCUCGGGUUGUAAACCGCUGUCGUAGAGGAGAAAGGUCUGAUGAAGAAUCAGAUUUGAUCUAUUCUAGGAGGAAGUCGGGGCUAAGUUCGUGCCAGCAGCCGCGGUAACACGAACCCGACAAACGUUAUUCGGAAUUAUUGGGCUUAAAGGGUGCGUAGGCGGUGCGGUAAGUGAGGUGUGAAAGCCCUCGGCUCAACCGAGGAAUUGCGCUUCAUACUGCCGUGCUGGAGGGAGACAGGGGUAAGCGGAACUGAUGGUGGGGCGGUGAAAUGCGUUGAUAUCAUCAGGAACACCGGUGGCGAAAGCGGCUUACUGGGUCUCUUCUGACGCUGAGGCACGAAAGCUAGGGUAGCGAACGGGAUUAGAUACCCCGGUAGUCCUAGCCGUAAACGAUGAGCACUUGGUUGAGGGCCCCCCAUAGGCUCUCGAUCGCAGCGAAAGUGUUAAGUGCUCCGCCUGGGGAGUAUGGUCGCAAGGCUGAAACUCAAAGGAAUUGA
This 845-nucleotide ribosomal RNA is filed under the name uncultured bacterium. RNAcentral describes it as "bacterial SSU rRNA". It matches the Rfam family "Bacterial small subunit ribosomal RNA", at positions 62 to 913 of the family's 1533-position model. The record is from RNAcentral.